GAAGGGUUCAGAAUGAGAUCCUUCAGUUCGGCUGGCUGGAACACAGGUGCUGCAUGGCUGUCGUCAGCUCGUGUCGUGAGAUGCUGGGUUAAGUCCCGCAACGAGCGCAACCCUCGCCUUUAGUUGCCAUCAUUUAGUUGGGCACUCUAGAGGGACUGCCGGUGAUAAGCCGGAGGAAGGUGGGGAUGACGUCAAGUCCUCAUGGCCCUUACGGGUAGGGCUACACACGUGCUACAAUGGUGGUGACAGUGGGCAGCGACACAGUGAUGUGAUGCUAAUCUCAAAAAGCCAUCUCAGUUCAGAUUGUACUCUGCAACUCGAGUACAUGAAGUUGGAAUCGCUAGUAAUCGUAGAACAGCAUGCUACGGUGAAUACGUUCCCGGGCCUUGUACACACCGCCCGUCACACCAUGGGAGUUGGUUUUACCUGAAGACGGUGU
RNAcentral lists this ribosomal RNA (439 nucleotides) under uncultured bacterium. RNAcentral's name for it is "bacterial SSU rRNA". It matches the Rfam family "Bacterial small subunit ribosomal RNA", at positions 993 to 1433 of the family's 1533-position model. The record is from RNAcentral.